Molecule: long non-coding RNA, 5715 nt
Organism: Orcinus orca (killer whale)
Lineage: Eukaryota; Metazoa; Chordata; Mammalia; Artiodactyla; Delphinidae
Exons: 6
Source: RefSeq, a predicted model, not a curated record
GGCAUCCAAGGCCUUCGUGGUCUCUUCCAGUCUUUCCAGACUAGUCUCAAAUGUGCCCGACGUUUCAGCCAUUCCACACAGUUCUCUAUUUGCUCACAGUUCUUUUAGCUUCCCCCGCCCCCAUCCCCCCCCACACUCCUUCCUGGCCCAGCUCAAGUGCUCAUUUCCCCAACCCUGCUUGUGUGUAUUGUCUACCCUCCAUCACUGUGUGUGUCCCAUCCAGCCCUGUGUCUCAGUUGCCUUGUUUUGUUUUGUCUGCUGCCCCUCUGGACCUGCUCCUCUCGGCAGAUAUGAAGUCUGCUCACUGCAUCCCCAGGGCCUGUCCCAUGAGCUGCUUCAGGGGACACAGGAUGCGUGGAGACAAACAGAAAGGAUUCUCACAGCUCUGCGUCUGCAGCCUGGGGAAGGGACACCAGCUGCUCCCUCCCGUUCCCCCCGCCCCUUUGGUAUCUUUAGUAUCUUCCUCUCCAUGGACACCUCUCUGCCCUCAAAAUGCCGAGGAUUCAGCAUCCCAAACAGGACUGGAUUUCCCCAAAGGGUAAUAUUCAAAGAUAUGUAUAGGUCAUUCACAAAAUAAAAAAUACAACCAACUAAGAAACAUUUGAGAACAUGUUGUAACUUACUAGUAGUCAUAGAAAUGCAAAUUAAACCGUGAGAUCACAUAGCGUCUGCGAUAUGCAUCAAGAGCUGUAAAAUGUUCAUACCAUCUGUCUCAUUACCCACAUCUGUGAUAAAUCCUAACAAAACCCCACAAAUACUGGAAACACUUAAUGCCCAACAGUUAUCCACAAUAUUCUUUUUUUUUUUUUUUUUUGCGGUACGCGGGCCUCUCACUGUUGUGGCCUCUCCCGUUGCGGAGCACAGGCUCCGGACGCACAGGCUCAGCGGCCAUGGCUCACGGGCCCAGCCGCUCCGCAGCAUGUGGGAUCCUCCCGGACCGGGGCACGAACCCGUGUCCGCUGCAUCGGCAGGCGGACUCUCAACCACUGCGCCACCAGGGAAGCGCUAACGUGAUAUUCUUUUGUUAAGGACUUUUUGAUUGUGAAAAAUAACACCCACAAAGUGUAUAGCAGUAAAUGUAUAGCUUAAUGAAUUAUUAUAAAGAAGUACUCAGUGUAAGCACCUAAGGUCACAAGAUGGAACACCCCAGUGCCCCAGGAGUCUGUGUGUCCCUUAAAAAUCACAAGGUCCCCCUCCCCAGAGAUAAGCACUUGCUUUUCUCCGUAGUUUGACCACCUCAGUAGACAUCCAUGAACAUGGUGCCUGUUUUGGGGGUUCACACAAGUGAAGGCACAGAGUUUGUGUUCUCUCCUCUCUGGUUUCUUUCACCCAACGUUACGGGAUCCUUUUUUUUUUUUUUCUUUCUACUUUACCCUCUUCCUGUCUUCUUUUAUUUUGUUGUUCAUUUUUUGAAAAUUGAAGUAUACUUGCUUUACAAUAUUGUAUUUGUUUCAGGUGUACAGCAAAGUGAUUCCAUUAUUUUUUUAAAGAUUAUAUUCCAUUAUAGAUUAUUCCAAGAUAUUGACUGUAGUUCCCUGUGUGGUACAGUAAAUCCUGGCUGCUUGUCUAUUUUAUGUGCCGUAGUUUGUAUCCCUUUCCCUUUUGGUAAUCGUAAGUUUGUUUUCUAUGUCUGCAAGUCUGUUUCUGUUUUCUGUAGAGAUUCAUUUGUAUUGUUUUUUGAGAUUCUAGAUAGAAGUGGUAUUGUAUAAUAUUUGUAUAAUAUUUGUCAUUCUCUGUCUUCUCUCACUUAGUAUGAUAUUCUCUAGGGUCCAGGAGCCUUUUUCUUGUGUCACCUGGAGCCAGGUGCAUACAUUUCUGCUGACCAGGUAGUUAAGUUAUAGGGAUUAUGAGGGAGAAUGUAUAUAAGCUCCUGUCACAGUGCCCUGCACUUAGUAGGCAUUUAAUACUGUUUCAUUCUUACCCUCCCUCUAUGACACAGGCCCAGCUCCAUUUCUAAGCAAGAUUCUCCACGCUUCCAACCCCAGUGUUGAUCUGCUUCCUAUCCUGCUACCACCACUUUUUACCACCACCUGGAAUCCAGAUUCUAUCCCCCUGGCCACCAGGGACAGAGCAGUCUCAGCAUAUUAUCGUCUGCUGUUCACACAGCUCCCCACUCCUGUGAGGGUUCUUAGGAUUUUCUUCAAGAAUAAGACAGGCAGAGCCCACCCCUCUAUCUCCCACCCAUCAUUCUUCACUAAGACCCUUCACUGACAAGGCAGGGCUGCUUCACAUUUCAGUAGGUGGAUCUUUGCACAAGGAUAUGGGAAGAUUUAAUCUGUAUUUCGGAGAAGGGUGACUGCCCAGACUUUCUGACAGUUUCUCAAAGAAGUUGAGGCAAGAGAAUGAAACCGGGAAAGGAGAGUCCAGAUGAAUGUGUGGGGUAGGAGGCAGGGAGGUGGGGAAGCAGGGAAGCUGCCUGGCUUGGAGAAGGGCAGUGGUGGGCAGAACAGGCAUCUGCAGGAGCAGCUUUUAAUCCCCCCUCUCUUUCAUUUCAUCCCCGCUUUAAAAAUUACCUUUGUGUCCCCACUGCACAGUUUCCAAUGUCUUGUGCCAUUUUGCAAGGUGAGUCUUUUGUGAUUACCACCGUGAUAGACUAGAUCUCAGGCAGGAUUCCUGAAAAUUUGUAUGGGUUAAGGGACAGGUUUUAUCAGGGAAACUUACCAAGAGAAGGUGGCAAGAAGAGAAGAAAAAGUGACCCUGGCUCUCUCAUCAUCACAUGGAAAUCAGUGUCUGGGCCUCAGUGAUUUGCUGGACACACAGAUUGGGGCUGUGCUCCAGAGGAAGGACGCUGUUCCCUUCUUACAGGGCAAGGGGUGAGAGCAGCCUUGACAGUGAGGGGACAGGCAGUAAGAGUUAGGUGCCAGCGAUUUAUAAUAGUUUUCUGGGAGUGCAGGCAGCCCAGCGCCAGGGACCUGGGGGACGUGGGACAUUUGUAAGCCCUCUGUCCCGGGGAUAGAGCUAAGGACCUCAUGGGACGUUGAGGGUGGGUGCAGACUCUCCCAGGAGGAGGAUGAACCCCCAAUACCAGUUGGGAUGGUGUCCAGGAAAACCAGAGUAUUCAGUUCUGCUUCUGGCUUUCUAGGAGACCUGGGCAACAGGCAACCAGUGUUCACUGAAUCCGUGGAUGAAGUCCUGUGUUCAGGUUUGAGGGAAACACCAGGCUCUUAGCCCGCAGUCACUGUCCCCAGGACUGAGCCUGCACUGCUCCUGGGUCUGGGCCGUGCUGGGGCAGGGGUGAAGCUGGUGCUCAAGGGGUUAGGUCAGGAGAAGUGGGGCGAGGCAGCCUGGCUGUUAGGACCUCUGGGAACUGGGUGGUUGGCAGGCCGAGCAGCAGAGUUCAAAGCAGGCAGGCGCCUCUGAGCACUGACUGGAGUCAGGAAUUCCUUCGGGGGAAAGGCUAGCUCAGAGGCCAAGGGGCCUUUAUCUUCAGUGAUACCUGGUGCAAGAAUUCUUUGGUGGUUUCAGGUGGAAGCUGCAACAUCCUCACAUCCAGGAAGCAUUUAUUCGGCACCCGCUACCUGCAGGGCCUGUGGGAGGCCUGAGGACACAAGUGGAAAAGGCUGUCCUGGCCUCAGGGCUCCCUUUCCCAUGGAGGCCACAGACCCCGCCUGCAGCUGGACCGGGACCAAAGUCUUCUUGCUGGAAGAAUGUUGACGUGCUGUUGGAAGGCCUCCUUUCGGGAAAUCACUAGCGGCAGUUUGAUCUUCAGCCGCCAGGUGACACUAGUGCCCAGGCGCUGCGCGGCCAGUCGGGAGGACGGAAGGAUGCUUUGAGGGAGGCUUCGGUGCUGGUUGCAGGUGGUGCUGCGAGGCCCGUGAGUCUUUUCCUUUCAUUCUCAGAUUGAGCACAAGGGUCGAACCAGAGAAACGGGGAAGGGGUGGCAGGUUGAUAGCUGGGGCGGCAGCACAAGAGUAAACCAGGAUUCAGCUAUUAGGAACUAAAUCCUGGGCAAAAUGAGCUUAUUUUGAGUGAGAGAUCUGUGAUCUGGGUGAGAAAUCAGGGGCAAGGUGCCGAUGUGGGAGAGGCCUAGGCUAGGAAUCAGGGUGGGGGGACCUGGAGGUCCACGUCUCAGACUGGGCUGGGUGAGAAUUAUUUUGGGCUAAGAGUGGGGCGGGUUACCAUUGAGAAGGGGGGACCCUUGAGGACCCUAUGUUUCAGAUCUGAGUUCUUGAUCCAAAUGAGAAACUUCUGAGGUGAAACAGCUUCAAAGAGGAGAGUGGGGGAACUUCUGCCUCACCCCUUGAGACAGACUCUGAGAGGUGAAGGCAGAUUGCCUGGGGAUGGGACACAGGGGCCUUCCUGGGACUGGGGUUCAUUCAGGGGGAAAUGCCCAGCUCUGGAGCAUUUCCCUGGAAGUAAGACUGCUUUGAAGGACUGAGAGAAGACCGCAUGUCAAUAUCAAACCCAGCUGCCACAAUUUCGUAUCAGGCACCCUUUCCAUCUUCACUUCUUCACCUCUCUGCGCUGGUUUUCUUCUCUGUAGAGUGGGGAAUCCUCGCCUCUCAGGUCAGUUUGGAGACAGCCUGAGGUGAACAAUGGGCAGUGCUUUGGAACCUGUAGGGCACUUCCCACCUGGUUCUCAUUUUGAGCACUCACAGCUGGGCACCUGCUGGGGUUGAAAUCCUGGCUUUCCCCUCCCCCACUGUGUGACGCUGGGUAAGUUACCCAACCUCCCAGUACCUCCGAUUUCUCAUGAUCCCAGUGACGAUGUUAAUAAGGACAGACCUCAUGAAACUGCUGUAAGGAUCUUUAAAGUGGCUCCUAAAAAUGGCCUUCAUAGACUGUUUUCAUUUCAAAGUUUCCUCAUCUUGUUCUUCUGAAUGUUGAAAUAUUACAAGUGUGCAUAGGUGUGGGUACCAAUCAGCACCACCUCUAUGUAUUUGGGAAGUUACAUUUGAAAGAAAUCUCCUGGAAGGCAUAAUUAUAUACUGCACACGUGGCCAUGGAAUACAUCUAACCUUCUGGAACAUACCCAGCUGACUGGUUUGGAUUUAGGGGACUCUGUAGUCUGCUAGAUGGAGGCCUUCAACGUCACACAGAUUUCACGUUAACCGUUCCCACAGGCUGCUCAUAUUUUCCAAGUCAUUAGAGCUGAGGCCCCUUUCUUAGGCAUGAUGCCACCAGACAGUGGCCUGAAGGGGAUAGCCAGAAAAUUGAUUAGCAUCAUUGAAACUCCCGUGGCAACAACUUUUUUCAAGUUUCUUAAAGAUAACCUGGAAGAAUUUCCUUCCAGAAAUUAAAAAACCCAGAGCCACAAUUGGAGCUGGACCCCCCCGGAGAUCUUCAGGAUGUAAAGGAAGAGGAGGAGACACCAGAGCUCGCUCUCUCUGUCUGUACAGAGAAAAGGUCAUGUGAGGACACAGUGAGAAGGUGGCCAUCUACAAGGUUUAAUGGCAUUUCUUUCUGGUGAGUGAAGAAUUUAAAAUCCAGAAAUGAGUUGGUGAAGGAAUUACUCUGUGAAGGAAGACCCUGACUACUGCACUCUUACAGCUGAGGAGAUGGAAGCACUGGGAGGUCAAGGCCCUGCUCAAGAGUUUGCAGCUGGUGAAUAAUGCAAUUCUACAGAUCUAUCAAUUGUCACCUGGCAGAGUUUUGGUUAAGAUGAGGUUCUGGUAAACAGAGACUUUAAUCAAGUAUUGGUACAAUAAAUGUAUGUGAACUAGCAUUCUUGUAUUGAAGUUAAAAAAACUAAAUAAAAUACAGAGCCUGAUGUGA